UACAGAGGUCCCAAGCGUUGUUCGGAUUCACUGGGCGUAAAGGGUGCGUAGGCGGUCGGGUAAGUCCGAUGUGAAAUCUCACAGCUUAACUGUGAAACUGCAUUGGAUACUAUUCGGCUUGAGAGUUGGAGGGGGGACUGGAAUUCUUGGUGUAGCAGUGAAAUGCGUAGAGAUCGGGAGGAACACCAGUGGCGAAGGCGGCCUUCUGGACCAAUACUGACGCUCAUGCACGAAAGCGUGGGGAGCAAACAGG
Molecule: ribosomal RNA, 253 nt
Filed under: uncultured bacterium
Lineage: Bacteria
Description: partial 16S ribosomal RNA
Rfam family: Bacterial small subunit ribosomal RNA
Source: RNAcentral